Molecule: long non-coding RNA, 310 nt
Filed under: Malus domestica (apple)
Lineage: Eukaryota; Viridiplantae; Streptophyta; Magnoliopsida; Rosales; Rosaceae
Description: long non-coding RNA (MDOM_LNC004943)
Source: RNAcentral
AAAAUGUUUGCCUCUUUCAUUUUACUGUGGACUUUUGAGGGACGCAGCCAACCAACAAUCGUGUUGACUGCCUUAAUUUGCAUCAAGAGGAAUGCAGAGGAGCUCCUCCUUAAUUAUAUCUGGAAAUGUUGCUCAUCUGAUAGUGCAUAUAUACCUGUACUGAGUUGAAAAACAACAUGGGAUUAUCUUAAAUCAUCAUCACUUUGGUCAACUAAAAUUUAAAAAUACCAUAACCGCGUUGAUGACAUUUGCAUGCUUUACUUGAAAGAAACAUUAGAAGAAUUAUUAAUCGUUUCUUAAAAAUACCAUA